AUACCGCAUAAGCGCACAGCAGGGCAUCCUGCGGUGUGAAAAGAUUUAUCGGGAUGGAAUGGAUCCGCAUCUGAUUAGCCAGUCGGCGGGGUAACGGCCCACCGAAGCGACGAUCAGUAGCCGGCCUGAGAGGGCGGACGGCCACAUUGGGACUGAGACACGGCCCAGACUCCUACGGGAGGCAGCAGUGGGGGAUAUUGCACAAUGGGGGGAACCCUGAUGCAGCGACGCCGCGUGGGUGAAGAAGUAUUUCGGUAUGUAAAGCCCUAUCAGCAGGGAAGAUAAUGACGGUACCUGAGUAAGAAGCCCCGGCUAACUACGUGCCAGCAGCCGCGGUAAUACGUAGGGGGCAAGCGUUAUCCGGAUUUACUGGGUGUAAAGGGAGCGCAGACGGAAGAGGAAGUCAGAUGUGGAAGCGAUGGGCAUAACCCAUGGAGUGCAUUUGAAACUCCUUGUCUAGAGUACUGGAGGGGUGAGCGGAAUUCCUGGUGUAGCGGUGAAAUGCGUAGAUAUCAGGAAGAACACCGGCGGCGAAGGCGGCUCACUGGACAGCAACUGACGUUGAGGCUCGAAAGCGUGG
RNAcentral lists this ribosomal RNA (580 nucleotides) under uncultured rumen bacterium. Its description in RNAcentral is "bacterial SSU rRNA". It matches the Rfam family "Bacterial small subunit ribosomal RNA", at positions 166 to 764 of the family's 1533-position model. The record is from RNAcentral.